This 118-nucleotide ribosomal RNA is filed under the name Gadus morhua (Atlantic cod). The record is from RNAcentral. Lineage: Eukaryota; Metazoa; Chordata; Actinopteri; Gadiformes; Gadidae.
GCUUACGGCCAUACCACGUUAGGCACACCCGAUCUCGUCUGAUCUCGAAGCUAAGCAGGGUAGGGCCUGGUUAGUACUUGGAUGGGUGACCGCCUGGGAAUACCAGGUGCUGUAAGCA